Molecule: ribosomal RNA, 468 nt
Filed under: uncultured bacterium
Lineage: Bacteria
Description: partial 16S ribosomal RNA
Rfam family: Bacterial small subunit ribosomal RNA
Source: RNAcentral
GAUGAACGCUGGCGGCGUGCCUAACACAUGCAAGUCGAGCGAUUCUCUUCGGAGAAGAGCGGCGGACGGGUGAGUAACGCGUGGGUAACCUGCCCUGUACACACGGAUAACAUACCGAAAGGUAUGCUAAUACGAGAUAAUAUGCUUUUAUCGCAUGGUAGAAGUAUCAAAGCUUUUGCGGUACAGGAUGGACCCGCGCCUGAUUAGCUAGUUGGUAAGGUAACGGCUUACCAAGGCGACGAUCAGUAGCCGACCUGAGAGUGUGAGCGGCCACACUGGAACUGAGACACGGUCCAAACUACUACGGGAUGGAGCAGUGGGGAAUAGUGCACAAUGGGCGAAAGCCUGAUGCAGCAACGCCGCGUGAGCGAUGAAGGCCUUCGGGUCGUAAAGCACUGUCCUCAAGGAAGAUAAUGACGGUACCUGAGGAGGAAGCCACGGCUAACUACGUGCCAGCCGCCGCGGUAA